AAGCUAAUAGCUUAGUUGGUUAAAGCGUUACAUUGAUAAUGUAAAGAUCGUUGGUUCAAGUCCAAUUUAGCUUA
RNAcentral lists this transfer RNA (74 nucleotides) under Paracoccaceae bacterium. RNAcentral describes it as "Rhodobacteraceae bacterium tRNA-Ile". It matches the Rfam family "tRNA". From Rfam's summary of the family: Transfer RNA (tRNA) molecules are approximately 80 nucleotides in length. Their secondary structure includes four short double-helical elements and three loops (D, anti-codon, and T loops). Lineage: Bacteria; Pseudomonadati; Pseudomonadota; Alphaproteobacteria; Rhodobacterales; Paracoccaceae. The record is from RNAcentral.